AAGCCAAGUGGGAAGAUCCUUGCUGGUUUCUCCCUCUGAGGAAGAAGGAAAAUGCCAUGACUCCCUGUAUGGCCUCUCUUGGAACCAUAUUUUGAGGUUCAUCUCAAAGAUCUCUCUUUGCAUAAUGUGUGUGUGGACCUGCCUACAGAUAUAUUGGGUGGAAGCCCUAGGAGCCUCAAGCAAGUCUGAAGAUUGGCCCUGAGAACCACUGUUCUCAUUAUCAGCAAGGAUUUUAUCCAGAGACCUCUAGGAAUACAUUCACUAAAAUGCGACUGUGGUCCUGUGGUUGUAUGAACUCUGGCUCUUCUCGUGGAUUACAUUUCACUGGAGUCAGGUGUUUUCUGUAAACAUCAUUAAACCACAAGACCAACUGCAUUGAACAUUUUUUGCACUACAUUGUUUUAUUUCUUGCUCGUCUUUUCCUUGCAGAGCUGGGGCUGGGGUGAGGUGUGUGGUGUACCUAGCACUAAAAAUGUAAGAAUUCUCGGAGUCAUACAGGUGCACGGUCAGCACCUGAGAGUGAGCCACCCUUUAACAUUUUGCCUUCUAGGUGCUUCACUUGCCUUGCCCAAGCACUAGCCCUAGAUUAAAUAAUAUGUUUCCAUUAGUUUUUUUUAAAUUAUAAUAUUAACAAUAGCUAGCACUUAUUGAGCACUCCCUUAUGUGCCAGUAAAUGUGACUUAGAUGUAUCUGCUUAUUUUUCCUUACAUGAAACCCUAUGAAGUAGAUACAAUGGGUAUCAU
This 743-nucleotide long non-coding RNA is filed under the name Pongo abelii (Sumatran orangutan). Its description in RNAcentral is "lincRNA". Lineage: Eukaryota; Metazoa; Chordata; Mammalia; Primates; Hominidae. The record is from RNAcentral.